GAUGAACGCUGGCGGCGUGCCUAAUACAUGCAAGUCGAGCGAAUGGAUUAAGAGCUUGCUCUUAUGAAGUUAGCGGCGGACGGGUGAGUAACACGUGGGUAACCUGCCCAUAAGACUGGGAUAACUCCGGGAAACCGGGGCUAAUACCGGAUAACAUUUUGAACCGCAUGGUUCGAAAUUGAAAGGCGGCUUCGGCUGUCACUUAUGGAUGGACCCGCGUCGCAUUAGCUAGUUGGUGAGGUAACGGCUCCCCAAGGCAACGAUGCGUAGCCGACCUGAGAGGGUGCUCGGCCACACUGGGACUGAGACACGGCCCAGACUCCCACGGGAGGCAGCAGUAGGGAAUCUUCCGCAAUGGACGAAAGUCUGACGGAGCAACGCCGCGUGAGUGAUGAAGGCUUUCGGGUCGUAAAACUCUGUUGUUAGGGAAGAACAAGUGCUAGUUGAAUAAGCUGGCACCUUGACGGUACCUAACCAGAAAGCCACGGCUAACUACGUGCCAGCCGCCGCAGUAA
Molecule: ribosomal RNA, 515 nt
Filed under: uncultured bacterium
Lineage: Bacteria
Description: partial 16S ribosomal RNA
Rfam family: Bacterial small subunit ribosomal RNA
Source: RNAcentral